GAUUUCUGAGAGGGUAACAGGCUGCUGUUUUCUUCCUCUCCUAUUUUUGCAUUGUUUUUAGACCCAAAGGGCAGUGCCCGAGCACCUGAUGUUAUCUCUGUGGAUCCUGUCACUGGGCUGUUAAUUCCCAGCCCACACUGUGCCAUGCUGCUGAGCAGCCAGUGCUCUGGGCCAGUACCAAGCAACCAUUUCCUGCAUCCAGGCACUGGGAAGGUGCUUCACAUAGCGGGCAACGUUGGUUAUGAUCCCAUCAGAUCUGGGCUGGUCUGUACUGUUGAUUCUGCUUCAGGUGAGCGUCAGAAACCUGAAGUGCCCAUAUUUCCUUACAUUCCUUACCCACUUUGUCCUGACACUGGCCUACCUGUGAAGACAAAACUUCCAGUCCUGUGUCCUGAAAAAAUAUUUGGUCUUGGAGGACUCAUGGCAGAUCCAGUGACAGAAAUAGAAGUACCAGUGCUUGGGGUUACGAUCCAUCCUCACACUGGGCAAAAGCUGGCUGUUGGUGGGACAUACCUCAACCCCAUCACCAGCACACUGACACCGCUGGAGAUCGGGGGUCCUAUGACAGAGCCAGAGGGAGGCAAGAUUGUUCCAAUCCUCGGGGUUGGUUUGGAUGGUAACACUGGAGAAGUUAUACCUCUAGGUGGGCUGACGGAUCCUUCUGGAAACUUAAUGCUUAUUGGAGAUUCCUUCAUUGAGCCUCUGAGUGGGAAAAUUGCCCGAGUACAGGGAGCUCACCUGCAGCAAGACAAGGUUCUGCCCCACGGUGGCAGUUACCAAGCAGUGCUGGAAGCUGAGUGGCUGCUAUCCCAAAGUCGUGUGGUGGAUGCUCUAAAGAAGCUUAAGGCAUCAGUUUUGGAAGAUACCUGUCUAGCAGCAGACAGAUUGGCAGUGCUAAAGGCUUCAGUAGAAGAUAUGAAGAAGUCUUUCACUGCUAGAUUUUACCAUGCAAUGCACUGCUUGAAAAGCCUCAAGAAAAAACAAGAAAUAGCCUCAAAUGUCAAGAGUAAUGGUGGGAAUCUGGGUAGGUGUACAACAGUCUGUUUUAAAGAGUAAAGGGGUGUCAUUACAAUUAUGGCUACAGUAAUGAACACAUUUCCAUCACAGGAUUUGGCCAAAAUACUAGUAGUUAAAACCUUUGUAAGGUUUUUGUUAAAAUAGCCUUUGUUAAGCAAAUCAUAGACUCAUA
Molecule: long non-coding RNA, 1189 nt
Filed under: Phasianus colchicus (ring-necked pheasant)
Lineage: Eukaryota; Metazoa; Chordata; Aves; Galliformes; Phasianidae
Description: lncRNA (ENSPCLG00000011253.1)
Source: RNAcentral